AGCGAACGCUGGCGGCGUGCUUAACACAUGCAAGUCGUGCGGGAAAGGGACUUUCGGGUCCUGAGUAGAGCGGCGCACGGGUGCGUAAGACGCGGGUGACCUAUCCGCGAGGCGGGGAUA
Molecule: ribosomal RNA, 120 nt
Filed under: uncultured bacterium
Lineage: Bacteria
Description: partial 16S ribosomal RNA
Rfam family: Bacterial small subunit ribosomal RNA
Source: RNAcentral